UACGGGGGGGGCAAGCGUUGUUCGGAAUUACUGGGCGUAAAGGGUUAGUAGGUGGCCAACUAAGUCGGACGUGAAAUCCCUCGGCUUAACCGGGGAACGGCGUCCGAUACUGGAUGGCUUGAGUUUGGGAGAGGGAUGCGGAAUUCCAGGUGUAGCGGUGAAAUGCGUAGAUAUCUGGAGGAACACCGGUGGCGAAGGCGGCAUCCUGGACCAAAACUGACGCUGAAUAGCGAAAGCCAGGGGAGCAAACGGG
RNAcentral lists this ribosomal RNA (253 nucleotides) under uncultured bacterium. Its description in RNAcentral is "partial 16S ribosomal RNA". It matches the Rfam family "Bacterial small subunit ribosomal RNA", at positions 524 to 776 of the family's 1533-position model. The record is from RNAcentral.